UAGGUAGGUGGUCUCAUUUGUCUGGGGUGAAAGCCUUGAGCUUAACUCAAGAAGUGCCCCGGAAACGGUGAGACUAGAGUCUUGGAGGGGGUCGUGGAAUUCCCGGUGUAGCGGUGAAAUGCGUAGAGAUCGGGAGGAACACCAGAGGCGAAGGCGGCGACCUGGACAAGUACUGACACUCAACUACGAAAGCGUGGGGAGCAAACA
This 207-nucleotide ribosomal RNA is filed under the name uncultured bacterium. RNAcentral describes it as "partial 16S ribosomal RNA". It matches the Rfam family "Bacterial small subunit ribosomal RNA", at positions 568 to 774 of the family's 1533-position model. The record is from RNAcentral.